AUUGAACGCUGGCGGCAUGCCUAACACAUGCAAGUCGAACGAGUGGCGGACGGGUGAGUCAUGUCUGGGAAACUGCCUGAUGGAGGGGGAUAACUCCUGGCAACGGUAGCUAAUACCGCAUAGCAUCGACUGUGCCCAGAUGGGAUUAGCUAGUAGGUGGGGUAAAGGCUCACCUAGGCGACGAUCCCUAGCUGGUCUGAGAGGAUGACCAGCCACACUGGAACUGAGACACGGUCCAGACUCCGACGGGAGGCAGCAGUGGGGAAUCUUGCACAAUGGGCGAAAGCCUGAUGCAGCCAUGCCGCGUGUAUGAAGAAGGCCGUCGGGUUGUAAAGUACUUUCAGCGGGGAGGCGGUACCCGCAGAAGAAGCACCGGCUAACUCCGUGCCAGCAGCCGCGGUAAUUC
Molecule: ribosomal RNA, 406 nt
Filed under: uncultured bacterium
Lineage: Bacteria
Description: partial 16S ribosomal RNA
Rfam family: Bacterial small subunit ribosomal RNA
Source: RNAcentral